UUGUUUCAAAUUUUGAUGAUUUAAAUAUUUAAUACUAGAAUAAAAUUUUGGAUAUUAGAUACAAUUUCAUAGGUCAUCAAAUCAAAACUAUGCAUAUAGAGAUUAUCAUUUCAUCGAAAUCUUCUUCAAUACACCUUUUCUUCUACCUGUAAAUGACCAUCGAACAGUACAUGUUAUUUACUUAUUUCACAACAGAAUCAUUCUAAACAUUCAAAGAAAUGGUUUUCUGAGCAUCCAGAGAGGCCUCUUUCUCAACCUCAGGCGAGGCAUUCUUCUGAACCUCAGUAUCGAUAUUCUUAUCAACCUUGGGUGUGCUACUCUUCUCAAUCUCGGGUGUCUCAUACUCUCAUUCAUCUGAACCUCUUGGGAUGCAAUCUCAUUAACUUCCAAUCUUCUGAACCUCCAAAGAGGCAACAUUUUCAACCUCCGGAGAGGUAAUCUUUCAAACCUCCAGAAAGGCAAUUCUCUCAACCUCAGGAGAGGGCAACAUUUUCAUCCUCCAGAGGCAACCUUCUCAAGCUCCCCAACUGCAACCAAACCGGACUCCAGUAUCUUGUACGCACGUAAUGUAAAUGAAUUUAAAGAUAACAUUAUAGUAUUAUACGAAAACAAAAUAUCUAUUAAGUGAAAAUGAAUUUACCAUUUCAUGACGAACCUCGAUGACCUACUUCUUUUUCUUCAAUUUCUGUUCUACAUUAGAAGAUCGUUGAAUACUUUUCUUCUCCGAUUUCAUCUUCUUCUUCUUCUCGCUAUUUUCCAGAGAACAUCCUCAAUUCCCUUGUUCUUGAACUCAUAUUGACUAACUUCCCGCGACAAUGCAAACUUCAAAAUAAUUUGAGACUUUUUUAAUCAAAAUGUUAAAAAAUAAUGCUUCUCAAAUAUGUCAACUUCAUCUUACCCUUUCUCGACCUCGUUCUUUUCCUUCAAUUCAUCUUGUGGAACAAAAGAGCGUCGAACAACCUUCUUCUUCUUCUUCUUCUUCUCAAUCGUAACAAAUGGUUCUUCAAUCAACACACUUUCCGUCUGAACCACAUCAGUUUAUUCUUUAUUAACCACAUCAACUACUUCUCUUUGAACCUCACCACCAACAACUUUCUAAACCUGGACCUCUGUGUCUUUCUGAACCUCAACAACUUGUUUACUACCAACUUCAUCUACCCUCACCAUGUGUUCUCGCAAAUCAGUCCUAUCGGACGGUCUACCCUCACCAUGUGUACUCUAUUUUUAUAAUAUUCAUUUAUUUUAUUAAAAUUAUAUUAAUUUAUAGAAAAGUCAUACCUCUAACUCUAUGAUUAAAUUUAUAGAAAAAUCCACCGACCUACUCACCCCCAUGUGCGUCUGCCGCAAUUAAGCGCCUA
This 1358-nucleotide long non-coding RNA is filed under the name Zostera marina. RNAcentral's name for it is "long non-coding RNA (ZMAR_LNC000839)". Lineage: Eukaryota; Viridiplantae; Streptophyta; Magnoliopsida; Alismatales; Zosteraceae. The record is from RNAcentral.